GAUGAACGCUAGCGGCAGGCCUAACACAUGCAAGUCGAGGGAGAAGCCCUUUCGGGGGCCGAAACCGGCGCACGGGUGCGUAACGCGUAUGCAACCUACCUUUCACAGGGGGAUAGCCCGAAGAAAUUUGGAUUAAUACCCCAUAAUAUUAUUGGAUGGCAUCAUUUGAUAAUUAAAACUGCGGUGGUGAAAGAUGGGCAUGCGUCCUAUUAGCUAGUUGGAGUGGUAACGGCACCCCAAGGCUACGAUAGGUAGGGGUCCUGAGAGGGAGAUCCCCCACACUGGUACGGAGACAGGGACCAGACUCCUACGGGAGGCAGCAGUGAGGAAUAUUGGUCAAUGGUCGGAAGACUGAACCAGCCAUGCCGCGUGCAGGAAGAAUGCCUUAGGGGUGGUAAACUGCUUUUAUAGGGGAAGAAUAAGGCGUACGGGUACGUUGAUGACGGUACCAUAUGAAUAAGCAUCGGCUAACUCCGUG
This 478-nucleotide ribosomal RNA is filed under the name uncultured bacterium. RNAcentral's name for it is "partial 16S ribosomal RNA". It matches the Rfam family "Bacterial small subunit ribosomal RNA", at positions 28 to 507 of the family's 1533-position model. The record is from RNAcentral.